This 174-nucleotide long non-coding RNA is filed under the name Dermacentor andersoni. RNAcentral's name for it is "uncharacterized LOC126520406". The record is from RNAcentral. Lineage: Eukaryota; Metazoa; Arthropoda; Arachnida; Ixodida; Ixodidae.
CCAUCCACUACGUAAACGAAAUGGCGUGCCCAGAGUACACAUCGUGACAGCGCUCCGCCUUCAAACCGAGGGCCUUUUGCAAGGCGCAUGGACUGCUCAUAUAAAAGUUACAGUCAGCAUGAAGCAAUUGCAUGGGAACCGACUGGCUGUCUUGGGCCUACACAUUGCUGAAAA